This 255-nucleotide ribosomal RNA is filed under the name uncultured bacterium. Its description in RNAcentral is "partial 16S ribosomal RNA". It matches the Rfam family "Bacterial small subunit ribosomal RNA", at positions 524 to 776 of the family's 1533-position model. The record is from RNAcentral.
UACGUAGGGUGCGAGCGUUAAUCGGAAUUACUGGGCGUAAAGCGUGCGCAGGCGGUUUGCUAAGACCGAUGUGAAAUCCCCGGGCUUAACCUGGGAACUGCAUUGGUGACUGGCAGGCUAGAGUAUGGCAGAGGGGGGGUAGAAUUCCACGUGUAGCAGUGAAAUGCGUAGAGAUGUGGAGGAAUACCGAUGGCGAAGGCAGCCCCCCUGGGCCAGUACUGACGCUCAUGCACGAAAGCGUGGGGAGCAAACAGG